This 289-nucleotide long non-coding RNA is filed under the name Ananas comosus (pineapple). RNAcentral describes it as "long non-coding RNA (ACOM_LNC032184)". Lineage: Eukaryota; Viridiplantae; Streptophyta; Magnoliopsida; Poales; Bromeliaceae. The record is from RNAcentral.
UAUCCAAAACUUCCAUCCUAUCUUUCCAAAUUAUUGUUGUCAUGUGCAACUUAUACUUUUUUAACAAUUCAUUAAACAGAUUUCACUUUUGAGUAAAGUCUAAAUUAUAGAGCUCCAAUUUUCUACUUCUAAUAAUUUUUGCUUUACCGAUCGUCUCCGGUACAAAUGGCUAAAUAGUUGAUAUCCGAAAUUUAAAGUUCAAAACCUAAUCGCUUCACAUUUUCAAUUAAAUUUAUUUAAAAAAAAAAUAAAGUAGUGACAUGCUAUUAUUUGUUUUUGUAAGGGAUAA